UACAGAGGUGGCAAGCGUUGUUCGGAAUUACUGGGGGUAAAGGGCGCGUAGGCGGCCUUCUAAGUCAGACGUGAAAUCCCCCGGCUUAACCUGGGAACUGCGUCUGAUACUGGGAGGCUAGAGUAUGGGAGAGGGAUGUAGAAUUCCAGGUGUAGCGGUGAAAUGCGUAGAUAUCUGGAGGAAUACCGGUGGCGAAGGCGGCAUCCUGGACCAUUACUGACGCUGAGGCGCGAAAGCUAGGGGAGCAAACGGG
Molecule: ribosomal RNA, 253 nt
Filed under: uncultured bacterium
Lineage: Bacteria
Description: partial 16S ribosomal RNA
Rfam family: Bacterial small subunit ribosomal RNA
Source: RNAcentral